Molecule: ribosomal RNA, 1759 nt
Filed under: Phacus pleuronectes
Lineage: Eukaryota; Euglenozoa; Euglenophyceae; Euglenales; Phacaceae
Description: LSU rRNA
Rfam family: Bacterial large subunit ribosomal RNA
Source: RNAcentral
GGGGGAUUAGCUUCAUUGUCAAAAGGGUAAUAGCCCAGAUCACCAGUUAAGGCCCCUAAAUAAUUGCUAAGUGACAAAGGAUGUAUUGAUGCGUAGACAACCAGGAGGUUUGCUUAGAAGCAGCAAUCCUUUAAAAAGUGCGUAAUAGCUUACUGGUCAAGUGCCUUUGCGCCUAUAAUGUACGGGACUAAGUAAUUUGCCGAAACUGUGAGUUAAAUCGGUAGAAGAGCGUUCUGAUUGGUUUGAAGUAAUAACGAAAGUAAUUAUGGACUUUUCAGAAGUGAGAAUGUCGGCUUAAGUAACGAAAACAUUGGUGGGAAUCCAAUGCUCCGAAAACCUAAGGUUUCCUUUGCAAGGUUCGUCCACGAAGGGUUAGUCAGGUUCUAAAAAGAGGCCGAACGGCGUAUUUGAUGAAUAGCAGGUUAAUAUUCCUGCACUACAUUAAGUUUGAUUAAGAGGGACGAAGAAGGCUAAGUUAGCCAAAGAUUGGUUGUUUUGGUUUAAACUUUCGAGAUGUUGAGAAACUUAAUUAAAAAAUGUUUUGAGUUGAGAAGUGAAUACGAAGAUACUAAGGUAUUGAAGUAACUUAUGUCAUGCUUUCUAGAAAAUCUAUUGUAAUCGUCAAUUUAAUGUACCUGUACCGUAAACUGACACAGGUAGGUAGGUAGAGUAUACCAAGGAGCGCGAGAGAACUCUUUUUAAGGAACUCGGCAAAAUAGCCUUGUAACUUCGGGAGAAAAGGUGCCUUAAUAAAAUAAUUAAGGUCGCAGCGAUCAGAUCCAGGCGACUGUUUACCAAAAACACAGGUCUCCGCUAAGUUGAAAAACGAUGUAUGGGGGCUGACGCCUGCCCAGUGCUGGAAGGUUAAAAAAAUUGGUUAGCAUUAGCGAAGCUAGUAAUUGAAGCCCCAGUGAACGGCAGCAGUAAAUAUAACUGUUCUAAGGUAGCGAAAUUCCUUGUCGGGUAAGUUCCGACCCGCACGAAAGGCGUAACGAUCUGGAAACUGUCUCAAAAAGAGACUCGGUGAAAUAGAAUUAACUGUGAAGAUGCGGUUAACUUGCACUUGGACAGAAAGACCCUAUGAAGCUUUACUGUAACUUGAUAUUGUUUUCGGACUUUUUUUGCGCAGCAUAGGUGGGAGGCUUAGAUUCUUUUUUUCGGAAAAUGAGGAGCCAUAAAUGAGAUACCACUCUAAAAAAGUUAGAAAUCUAAUGAUGUUUCUUUAUCAGAACAUUUGACAGUGUCAGGCGGGCAGUUUUACUGGGGCGGUAGCCUCCCAAAAGGUAACGGAGGCGUACAAAGGUUUUCUCAGACUGUAUGGAAAUUUGUUUUAGCGUGUAAAGGCAUAAGAAAGCUUAACUGUUAGACUAACAUGUCAAGCAGAGACGAAAGUCGGUCUUAGUGAUCCGACGAUACUGAAUGUAAAGGUCGUCGCUUAACGGAUAAAAGUUACUCUAGGGAUAACAGGCUGAUCUCCUCCAAGAGUUCACAUCGACGAGGAGGUUUGGCACCUCGAUGUCGGCUCAUCGCAACCUGGAGCGGUAGUACGUUCCAAGGGUUGGGCUGUUCGCCCAUUAAAGCGGUACGUGAGCUGGGUUCAGAACGUCGAGAGACAGUUCGGUCCAUAUCCGGUGUAAGCGUUAGAGUAUUGAAAGGAUCUUUUUCUAGUACGAGAGGACCGAAAAAGACACACCUCUGGUGUACCAGUUCUUAUGCCAAUAGAAAAUGCUGGCUACUCAAGUGUGGAGUGGAUAACUGC